UGUGUGUGUGCGUGCGACGUGAAGAGCAGGAGAGAAAGGGGGGAGAACAAAACCCUAACAACACAAAAUCAGUCAAAUUGGAAAGGAAUUUGAGGGCUAAACGAAUGCAAUAACUAAGCACUAUGAUCCCCUAAGUGUUUCUAACAUCAACCGAACGAAUGAAUGUAUGUAAGCUAUCUGUGUUACGAAUGUGGUGAUAUGUACGGAUAGGAGUCAUGUCAACAAGAGCACAAACGAGGAAGUGCCACGGGUCAAAGGUAAACAUGGAAGUUAUGUGCAAAUUCGGACGCACGAGGUAAGUAAACUCCCGGACUCCCUCUCUAGUAGUAAAAGAGAUUAAUUGUAUGAUAAUUGUUAGAAGUUAUGUUGAAAUGCGUUAUUGUUGAUGAUAUCAAGUAAGUAGUAUUAAGUAAGUGAUUUCCGAAUCACUUCUUAGUUUAUUUAAGCAAAGUUAUGUGCUAGUUACUUAAGCAUGAUAAUCAAAGCCUAUUAAGAUUUGGUUAUUUAGAAGCAAAGGUUUUCGCUUUGUAGACCAACGGGUUAAAAUAAGGAAGUUUUACUAAUGAAGUUCAAUUACGUAUAAUUGAUUGAAAUGAAUGAGAUUAACGCAUACCGGGAAUCGGGUUCAUAAACCCCAUGUAUGGAACUCCGGAUAGUGUAAACCCUUUUAUAGUUAUAAUGUUCAUGUGAGUUUUGAGUAUAAACAAGUGAGUUGUUUGGUAACAACAUGAACGGGUCAAAUAACUAGUAAAUGAAUAUUAAGUCGAAAGCAUAUAAGUUAAGAAUUUCCUUAAUCCGUGUGUUGGAUUUCAAGUUCACAUGAUAGAAUGUUAAUUUACAAUCAUGUAGGAAGAAACGUGAUGCAAAACGGAUGAAAAAUGAGAGAGUUAUGUCCGUUUCGGUAAGAAUUAAUGGCUAGGAAAAGUGCAGAGCUGACACGGCCGGGUGGUGAGCUGACACGGCCGGGUGAAGGUUCUGUCAAAAAUAUUAUUUAUGUGAUUUAUGAAUCGUAGGCUUUGGUAUACUAUCCGUGGACUACGGUGGGCCUCCCAAACAUGAUUUCGAGUGUUUCCUUGACGAUUAUAAGUUGUAAACCCAAGUCUAAGCCUCAUGUAAUUUAUAUAAGAGUAUGAUAGAUGUAUGUAAUGAAGUUGGACAUGUAUUACAUGUAAAUGGUAUACAAGAAUGCGUACGGAACACGUAGGUAUGAAUACAUGAUUGUAGGUAUGAUUGAAUGUAUAUUAGGUAUGUAGAUGUGUAUGAUUGUAAGUAUGUAUGUGUGCAAGUAUGUGCGAAUGCAUGAUUUGGAUGCAUUUGAGAAUUAACGUUACUAACAAUGCCCUUGAGUUUGGGAUGUAAUGCAGGAAUGAGAAUGUCGGAUUCUUAUGAAGUUGAAGCCGAACUCGGAACAAGAGACUUAGAGAGAAUAGUCGAAUGAAUCGAAGCUAUAUUGUCGAAUAUUAUACGAAAGUUAAUUGUGUAAGAAUAGUGUUGUAUGAGGUUGUCAAUGACUAAUGAUUAAGUUGUAUGUGAUGUUCACAGGUACCAUACGGAUUUCUUCUUCUUCUACUAACGAAGAUGAGCGGACGAAGAUCGAGUCAAGAGCAAGGAUUGUACGGGAAGGAUCGGUCACAUAGUUUAACAAAUGUAGGUCCAAAGUAUUAAUAUAAUGGAACGUGGUAAAUACUUUUUAAUGAGUGUAUGACAUUUGGUAUUCGAACUUUCCUGUAAGUACUAUGUCUAUUAAAGAACGAAAUUUUGGGUUCAUAUUUUUCCGUUGUGUUGUAUUUUUUAAGUUAUUACAAGUUAGUCUUACAGGGAAUUGUUCAUAAUACGAACGGGUCAUGCCCGAUUUUUGUUAAAUUAUAGUAUGAUAAUAUCACAUUUAGGAAGGUGAAACCUUGGGCGUUUCACGUUAGACGCUGGUAGCUCCGCCGAAGCCGGUGGCUCUGCAUCUAAAUCAGGAAAUUAGGGUUUUUUUCUAGAAUUGAUUAACAAGAUGAAGAAGCUGAUGCAGCUGCAUUUGAAUCAGGAAAUUAGAACCCUAAAGGUCUUGGCAAGAUGUCGGCAAUGA
RNAcentral lists this long non-coding RNA (2074 nucleotides) under Helianthus annuus (common sunflower). RNAcentral describes it as "hypothetical non coding rna". The record is from RNAcentral. Lineage: Eukaryota; Viridiplantae; Streptophyta; Magnoliopsida; Asterales; Asteraceae.